UCAGAAGAUAGUUUAAUUUAGAACUCUGGCUUUGGGAGCCAGGGGUGGGAGUUAAAAUCUCUCUUUUCUG
RNAcentral lists this transfer RNA (70 nucleotides) under Gobiobotia filifer. RNAcentral describes it as "tRNA-Pro". It matches the Rfam family "tRNA". Rfam says of the family: Transfer RNA (tRNA) molecules are approximately 80 nucleotides in length. The record is from RNAcentral. Lineage: Eukaryota; Metazoa; Chordata; Actinopteri; Cypriniformes; Gobionidae.